UGUCUUUUUGAGUUUAAUAUAAAGUCUAAUCUGCCCACUGAUUUUAAAAAAUUAAAUGGCUGCAGUAUAUUGACUGUACAAAGGUAGCAUAAUCAUUAGUCAUUUAAUUGGUGACUUGUAUGAAGGAUUGGAUGAGAUAUAAACUGUCUUUUAUUUAAUUAUAAAAUUUAAUUUUUUUAUUAAAAAGUUAAAAUAAGUUAAAAAGACGAGAAGACCCUAUAGAGUUUUAUAAAUAAUUAAGUUAAGAUUAUAUUUAAAGUUUAAGUUUAAAAUUUAAAUAUUUAUUUUGUUGGGGUGAUAGAAAAAUAUAAAAAACUUUUUUUACAUAAAAACAUUUAUAAGUGGUUAAAUGAUCCAAUUUUAUUGAUUAUAAGAAAAAAUUACCUUAGGGAUAACAGCGUAAUUUUUUUUUUUAGUUCAAAUAAGAAAAAGAGUUUGCGACCUCGAUGUUGGAUUAAGAUAAAAUUUAAAUGUAGAAG
Molecule: ribosomal RNA, 479 nt
Filed under: Acrapex breviptera
Lineage: Eukaryota; Metazoa; Arthropoda; Insecta; Lepidoptera; Noctuidae
Description: partial large subunit ribosomal RNA
Source: RNAcentral